GAUGAACGCUAGCGGCAGGCUUAAUACAUGCAAGUCGUGGGGCAGCGCAGUGUAGCAAUACAUGGGCGGCGACCGGCAAACGGGUGCGGAACACGUACGCAACCUUCCUUUAAGCGGGGGAUAGCCCAGGGAAACUUGGAUUAAUACCCCAUAAGAUUAUGGUGUGGCAUCACACAGUAAUUAAAGCUCCGGCACUUAAAGAUGGGCGUGCGGCUGAUUAGGUAGUUGGCGGAGUAACAGCCCACCAAGCCAACGAUCAGUAACUGGCGUGAGGGCACGACCAGUCACACGGGCACUGAGACACGGGCCCGACUCCUACGGGAGCAGCAGUAAGGAAUAUUGGUCAAUGGACGCAAGUCUGAACCAGCCAUGCCGCGUGGAGGAUGACGGCCCUCUGGGUUGUAAACUUUCUUUUAUUUGGGAAGAAACCACUCUUUUCUAAGGGUGUUGACGGUACCAUUUGAAUAAGCACCGGCUAACUCCGUGCCACGCCGCCGC
This 498-nucleotide ribosomal RNA is filed under the name uncultured bacterium. RNAcentral's name for it is "bacterial SSU rRNA". It matches the Rfam family "Bacterial small subunit ribosomal RNA", at positions 28 to 518 of the family's 1533-position model. The record is from RNAcentral.